RNAcentral lists this transfer RNA (63 nucleotides) under Indomegoura indica. RNAcentral's name for it is "tRNA-His". Lineage: Eukaryota; Metazoa; Arthropoda; Insecta; Hemiptera; Aphididae. The record is from RNAcentral.
AUUUAAAUAGUUUAAUUAAAAUAUUAAUUUGUGGAAUUAAAGAUUAUACAUUAUAUUUAAAUA